AAAUCCGUCGACUUUAAAAAUCGUGAGGGUUCAAGUCCCUCUAUNCCCAA
Molecule: transfer RNA, 50 nt
Filed under: Muehlenbeckia platyclada
Lineage: Eukaryota; Viridiplantae; Streptophyta; Magnoliopsida; Caryophyllales; Polygonaceae
Description: tRNA-Leu
Source: RNAcentral